RNAcentral lists this long non-coding RNA (295 nucleotides) under Homo sapiens (human). RNAcentral's name for it is "HSALNT0171588". Lineage: Eukaryota; Metazoa; Chordata; Mammalia; Primates; Hominidae. The record is from RNAcentral.
CAAAUCAGAUGCUUUGCCAAUAGCACAGUCAGUAACAUGUUUGAGUUCAGGCUCAUAGGAAAAGGUAAGCUGGAGAGAUCCUUUUAAUAAUUUAAAUCCAGUAGUAAAAGGUCACAGAUAAUGGGAAAUACCACACAGAGGCACAGUCAGAGAGAUAUUUGGUGUUGAGGUCUAAUGAAAGGUAGCUGACAAGAAAUGGGCCUAGCCACACAAUAAAUUCUCAAUAACAGGCCAGGUGUAGUGGCUCAUACCUGUAAUUUCAGCACUUUGAGAGGCUGAGGUGGGAGGAUUGCUU